UAGUAUUAAAUAGCUGCGGUAUCUUGACCGUACAAAGGUAGCAUAAUCACUAGUUUUUUAAUUGGGAACUUGUAUGAAUGGUUUGACGAAAAAAAGACUGUCUUUAUUAUAGAAGUUGAAUUUAACUUUUAAGUGAAAAGGCUUAAAUUAGUUAGGGGGACGAUAAGACCCUGUAAAACAUUUUGUUGGGGCGACAUAAGUAUAAGUUGUAACUGCUUACAAUAAUUGCCAUUAGUAGAUGGGACGAUCCUUAAUAAAGAUUUAAAAAUUAAGUUACUUCAGGGAUAACAGCGUUAUUUCUUUAGAGAGUCCAUAUCGAAAUAGAAGUUUACGACCUCGAUGUUGAAUUAAAAUAUCUUUAUAGUGCAGCGGCUAUAAAAGAAGGUCUGUUCGACCUUUAAAUUUUU
Molecule: ribosomal RNA, 407 nt
Filed under: Ethusa sexdentata
Lineage: Eukaryota; Metazoa; Arthropoda; Malacostraca; Decapoda; Dorippidae
Description: partial 16S large subunit ribosomal RNA
Rfam family: Bacterial large subunit ribosomal RNA
Source: RNAcentral